AACUAAUUAUAAAUUUAAUAAGCCCAGAGUGUAUAUAAAGUCACGAAUUUAUUUUUUCUAUACUCUCUAGUUUCAAAAUGUUGCCAAUUAUAUUUUUACUGUUGCUGGUAGUAUCUUCUUGUUUAGCAAAUGGAGCCGGACCGGUAGGCAAGAUUGAAAUUAAAAAAAUUGACGCCUGUGAUAAUUCAAACUACCAAUUGAAAAUUCAAUUUGAUUCAAGUGCAGGCGAUGGCAAAACUUUUAAUAUUCAAUUUAAAACUACCAGGACCAUAAAUGAAAACUGGACGUUCCGAGGUGAUGUUGACAAGUGGACAGGUACAGCAUGGAAAACUGGAGUCAUGAAAGGCGACGGAAAAAUGUGCCAAGCAGCUAAUGAAGCAGUUCCGGCUUUAAAGGAACGCGUAUUUAAGGCUUUAAACGUGAAGAAGUGUGAACUUGCACCUGGAUCAUACUCGUUGAAAGCCAUGAAAUUCUUUGAAAAAGAUAUCAAAAUGAAAGCGCUACCGUAUGGAAAGUUCCGAAUUACUGUGAAAGCAUGGGACGACAAAAAGACGAUUGUUGCGUGCUUUGUUGGCGAAGGCGAACACUCACCUAAGAUUUAAUUGUUUAAAUGCAAUAUAAAUGUAUGAUAUAAAUAUAUCUAUGUGCAAAGAUA
Molecule: long non-coding RNA, 655 nt
Organism: Dalotia coriaria
Lineage: Eukaryota; Metazoa; Arthropoda; Insecta; Coleoptera; Staphylinidae
Exons: 2
Source: RefSeq, a predicted model, not a curated record